RNAcentral lists this unclassified non-coding RNA (247 nucleotides) under Hevea brasiliensis (rubber tree). Lineage: Eukaryota; Viridiplantae; Streptophyta; Magnoliopsida; Malpighiales; Euphorbiaceae. The record is from RNAcentral.
AAGAUUGCCCCUCAGCAAAGAAGGGGUGAGCCAGUGCCCCAGGAACUCUUGGAUAGGGUCCUGGCUGCUCAUUCAUACUGGUCUCAACAUCAGGCUAAGCAACAUGGCAAGAAUCAGGCUGCAGUUCUAAAGAUAACAGAGACACACGGUGGUAGAAAUGGAGUUGAAGGUGAAAUUCGCUUGUUCUGACGUAAAAAAGCAAGAAAAUUGUUGACCGGAACAGGGAAGAAGAAACUUGUACAAAUGA